This 498-nucleotide ribosomal RNA is filed under the name uncultured bacterium. Its description in RNAcentral is "bacterial SSU rRNA". It matches the Rfam family "Bacterial small subunit ribosomal RNA", at positions 26 to 518 of the family's 1533-position model. The record is from RNAcentral.
AGGAUGAACGCUAGCGGCAGGCUUAACACAUGCAAGUCGAGGGGCAACGCGAGUAGCAAUACUUGGCGGCGACCGGCGCAAGGGUGCGUAACGCGUGAGCAACAUGCCCGUAUCAGGGGGAUAAUCCAGGGAAACUUGGUCUAAUACCCAUAGUAAUUUUUGUAAGGCAUCUUAUAAGAUUUAAAGCUUUGGUGGAUACGGAUUGGCUCGCGUGACAUUAGCUGGAUGGUAAGGUAACGGCUUACCAUGGCUAUGAUGUCUAGGGGUUCUGAGAGGAAGGUCCCCCACACUGGAACUGAGACACGGUCCAGACUCCUACGGGAGGCAGCAGUGAGGAAUAUUGGACAAUGGAUGGAAAUCUGAUCCAGCCAUGCCGCGUGAAAGGAAGAAGGUCCUAUGGAUUGUAAACUUCUUUUGUAUGGGAGCAAUAAGGCCUACGAGUAGGUUGAUGAGAGUACCAUACGAAUAAGCACCGGCUAACUCCGUGCCAGCCGCCGC